GCCUGAGUGGCUCAGCUGGUUAAGCAUCUGACUUCAACUCAGGUCAUGAUCUCAUGGUUUGUGGGUUCGAGGCCCCCAUCAGGUU
This 85-nucleotide transfer RNA is filed under the name Felis catus (domestic cat). It matches the Rfam family "tRNA". Rfam says of the family: Transfer RNA (tRNA) molecules are approximately 80 nucleotides in length. Their secondary structure includes four short double-helical elements and three loops (D, anti-codon, and T loops). Lineage: Eukaryota; Metazoa; Chordata; Mammalia; Carnivora; Felidae. The record is from Rfam by way of RNAcentral.